Molecule: ribosomal RNA, 107 nt
Filed under: uncultured bacterium
Lineage: Bacteria
Description: partial 16S ribosomal RNA
Rfam family: Bacterial small subunit ribosomal RNA
Source: RNAcentral
UACGUUCCCGGACCUUGUACACACCGCCCGUCAAGCGAUGGAAGUUGGGGGGGCCUGAAGACAGUUGUUGUGAGACGCUGUUUAGGGUAAAACCGAUGACUGGCGCU